This 386-nucleotide ribosomal RNA is filed under the name uncultured bacterium. RNAcentral describes it as "bacterial SSU rRNA". It matches the Rfam family "Bacterial small subunit ribosomal RNA", at positions 29 to 417 of the family's 1533-position model. The record is from RNAcentral.
AUUGAACGCUGGCGGCAUGCCUAACACAUGCAAGUCGAACGGUAACGCGGGGGCAACCCUGGCGACGAGUGGCGGACGGGUGAGUAAUACAUCGGAACGUGCCCAGUAGUGGGGGAUAGCCCGGCGAAAGCCGGAUUAAUACCGCAUACGACCUACGGGUGAAAGCGGGGGAUCGCAAGACCUCGCGCUAUUGGAGCGGCCGAUGUCAGAUUAGCUAGUUGGUGGGGUAAAAGCCUACCAAGGCGACGAUCUGUAGCUGGUCUGAGAGGACGACCAGCCACACUGGGACUGAGACACGGCCCAGACUCCUACGGGAGGCAGCAGUGGGAAUUUUGGACAAUGGGGGCAACCCUGAUCCAGCCAUGCCGCGUGCGGGAAGAAGGCCU